RNAcentral lists this ribosomal RNA (212 nucleotides) under uncultured Thiobacillus sp. RNAcentral's name for it is "partial 16S ribosomal RNA". It matches the Rfam family "Bacterial small subunit ribosomal RNA", at positions 1174 to 1382 of the family's 1533-position model. Lineage: Bacteria; Pseudomonadati; Pseudomonadota; Betaproteobacteria; Nitrosomonadales; Thiobacillaceae. The record is from RNAcentral.
UGGGGAUGACGUCAAGUCCUCAUUGGCCCUUAUGGGUAGGGCUUCACACGUCAUACAAUGGUCGGUACAGAGGGUUGCCAAGCCGCGAGGUGGAGCCAAUCCCACAAAGCCGAUCGUUAGUCCGGAUUGUUCUCUGCAACUCCGAGAGCAUGAAGUCGGAAUCGCUAGUAAUCGCAGGUCAGCAUACUGCGGUGAAUACGUUCCCGGGUCUU